CCUACGGGAGGCUGCAGUGAGGAAUAUUGGUCAAUGGACGAGAGUCUGAACCAGCCAAGUAGCGUGAAGGAUGACUGCCCUAUGGGUUGUAAACUUCUUUUAUAUGGGAAUAAAACGUUCCACGUGUGGGAUUUUGUAUGUACCAUAUGAAUAAGGAUCGGCUAACUCCGUGCCAGCAGCCGCGGUAAUACGGAGGAUCCGAGCGUUAUCCGGAUUUAUUGGGUUUAAAUGGAGCGUAGGUGGAUUGUUAAGUCAGUUGUGAAAGUUUGCGGCUCAACCGUAAAAUUGCAGUUGAAACUGGCAGUCUUGAGUACAGUAGAGGUGGGCGGAAUUCGUGGUGUAGCGGUGAAAUGCUUAGAGAUCACGAAGAACUCCGAUUGCGAAGGCAGUUCACUGGACUGCAACUGACACUGAGGCUCGAAAGUGUGGGUAUCAAACAGGAUUAGAUACCCCAGUAGUC
This 460-nucleotide ribosomal RNA is filed under the name uncultured bacterium. RNAcentral describes it as "partial 16S ribosomal RNA". It matches the Rfam family "Bacterial small subunit ribosomal RNA", at positions 338 to 795 of the family's 1533-position model. The record is from RNAcentral.